CCUACGGGUGGCAGCAGUGAGGAAUAUUGGUCAAUGGACGAGAGUCUGAACCAGCCAAGUAGCGUGAAGGAUGACUGCCCUAUGGGUUGUAAACUUCUUUUAUAAAGGAAUAAAACGAGGCACGUGUGCCCAGGCGGAGAGUACCCGGAGAAAAAGCAUCGGCUAACUCCGUGCCAGCAGCCGCGGUAAUACGGAGGAUGCGAGCGUUAUCCGGAUUUAUUGGGUUUAAAGGGUGCGCAGGCGGGCUGUUAAGCCGGCGGUAAAAAUUCAGGGCUCAACCCUGUCGAGCCGUCGGAACUGGCAGUCUUGAGUGGGCGAGAAGUAUGCGGAAUGCGUGGUGUAGCGGUGAAAUGCAUAGAUAUCACGCAGAACGCCGAUUGCGAAGGCAGCAUACCGGCGCCCAACUGACGCUGAGGCACGAAAGUGUGGGGAUCGAACAGGAUUAGAUACCCCUGUAGUC
This 460-nucleotide ribosomal RNA is filed under the name uncultured bacterium. RNAcentral describes it as "partial 16S ribosomal RNA". It matches the Rfam family "Bacterial small subunit ribosomal RNA", at positions 338 to 795 of the family's 1533-position model. The record is from RNAcentral.